CUGCAGGUUCAGGAAAUGAUGCA
Molecule: non-coding RNA, 23 nt
Filed under: Arabidopsis thaliana (thale cress)
Lineage: Eukaryota; Viridiplantae; Streptophyta; Magnoliopsida; Brassicales; Brassicaceae
Source: RNAcentral